Molecule: ribosomal RNA, 253 nt
Filed under: uncultured bacterium
Lineage: Bacteria
Description: partial 16S ribosomal RNA
Rfam family: Bacterial small subunit ribosomal RNA
Source: RNAcentral
GACAGAGGGUGCAAACGUUGUUCGGAUUUACUGGGCGUAAAGCGCGUGUAGGCGGCUUGGCAAGUUGGAUGUGAAAGCCCACGGCUCAACCGUGGAAGCGCAUCCAAAACUGCUUCGCUCGAGUCUCGGAGAGGAAGGUGGAAUGCUUGGUGUAGAGGUGAAAUUCGUAGAUAUCUGGAGGAACACCGGUGGCGAAGGCGGCAUCCUGGACCAAUACUGACGCUGAGGAGCGAAAGCCAGGGGAGCAAACGGG